ACGCUCGACACCUACGGGAGCAGCAGUGGGGAAUAUUGCACAAUGGGGGAAACCCUGAUGCAGCGACGCCGCGUGGAGGAAGAAGGUCUUCGGAUUGUAAACUCCUGUUGUUGGGGAAAAAGAGGAUGGUACCCAACAAGGAAGUGACGGCUAACUACGUGCCCGCAGCCGCGGUAAUCUGAGCGGGCGUGGCAAGGC
This 198-nucleotide ribosomal RNA is filed under the name uncultured bacterium. RNAcentral describes it as "partial 16S ribosomal RNA". It matches the Rfam family "Bacterial small subunit ribosomal RNA", at positions 328 to 544 of the family's 1533-position model. The record is from RNAcentral.